RNAcentral lists this ribosomal RNA (446 nucleotides) under uncultured bacterium. RNAcentral describes it as "partial 16S ribosomal RNA". It matches the Rfam family "Bacterial small subunit ribosomal RNA", at positions 338 to 795 of the family's 1533-position model. The record is from RNAcentral.
CCUACGGGUGGCAGCAGUCGAGAAUCAUUCACAAUGGGGGAAACCCUGAUGGUGCGACGCCGCGUGGGGGAAUGAAGGUCUUCGGAUUGUAAACCCCUGUCAUGUGGGAGCAAAUUAAAAAGAUAGUACCACAAGAGGAAGAGACGGCAAACUCUGUGCCAGCAGCCGCGGUAAUACAGAGGUCUCAAGCGUUGUUCGGAAUCACUGGGCGUAAAGCGUGCGUAGGCUGUUUCGUAAGUCGUGUGUGAAAGGCGCGGACUCAACCCGCGGACGGCACAUGAUACUGCGAGACUAGAGUAAUGGAGGGGGAACCGGAAUUCUCGGUGUAGCAGUGAGAUGCGUAGAUAUCGAGAGGAACACUCGUGGCGAAGGCGGGUUCCUGGACAUUAACUGACGCUGAGGCACGAAGGCCAGGGGAGCGAAAGGGAUUAGAUACCCUUGUAGUC